RNAcentral lists this ribosomal RNA (362 nucleotides) under Ecclisopteryx madida. RNAcentral's name for it is "partial 16S ribosomal RNA". Lineage: Eukaryota; Metazoa; Arthropoda; Insecta; Trichoptera; Limnephilidae. The record is from RNAcentral.
AUAAUAAUUAGGUUUUUAAUUGAAAUCUAGAAUGAAUGAUUGGACGAGAUACAGGCUGUUUUAUAAUAAUUAAUUAAAACUUAAUUUUUUAGUCAAAAAGCUAAAAUUUUAUUAAAAGACGAGAAGACCCUAUAAAUCUUUAUAAUAAAUUUAUUUUAAUAAAUUAUUUUAUUUAAAUUAAUUGUUUUAAUAAUAAAUUAUUUUAUUGGGGUGAUACAAAAAUUUAAUUAACUUUUUUAUUAAAAUUUCUUAAAUUAAAGAUUUUUAAAAAUAUGAUCUACUAUUAGUAAUUCAGAGAAUAAGAUACUUUAGGGAUAACAGCGUAAUUUUAAUUUUAAGUUCUUAUUAAAAUUAAAGAUUGC